AGUGAACGCUGGCGGUAGGCCUAACACAUGCAAGUCGAACGGCAGCACAGUAAGAGCUUGCUCUUACGGGUGGCGAGUGGCGGACGGGUGAGGAAUACAUCGGAAUCUACUUUUUCGUGGGGGAUAAUGUAGGGAAACUUACGCUAAUACCGCAUACGACCUACGGGUGAAAGCAGGGGAUCUUCGGCCCUUGCGCGAUUGUAUGAGCCGAUGUCGGAUUAGCUAGUUGGCGGGGUAAAGGCCCACCAAGGCGACGAUCCGUAGCUGGUCUGAGAGGAUGAUCAGCCACACUGGAACUGAGACACGGUCCAGACUCCUACGGGAGGCAGCAGUGGGGAAUAUUGGACAAUGGGCGCAAGCCUGAUCCAGCCAUACCGCGUGGGUGAAGAAGGCCUUCGGGUUGUAAAGCCCUUUUGUUGGGAAAGAAAAGCAGCAGGUUAAUACCCCGCUGUUCUGACGGUACCCAAAGAAUAAGCACCGGCUAACUUCGUG
RNAcentral lists this ribosomal RNA (492 nucleotides) under uncultured bacterium. Its description in RNAcentral is "partial 16S ribosomal RNA". It matches the Rfam family "Bacterial small subunit ribosomal RNA", at positions 29 to 507 of the family's 1533-position model. The record is from RNAcentral.